AGUGAACGCUGGCGGUAGGCCUAACACAUGCAAGUCGAGGGGUAGAAGGCUUUCGGGUCUUUGAGACCGGCGCACGGGUGCGUAACGCGUAUGCAAUCUGCCUUGUACAGGGGAUAGCCCGGAGAAAUCCGGAUUAAUACCCCAUAGUAUAUAGAUGUGGCAUCACACUUAUAUUAAAGAUUUAUCGGUACAAGAUGAGCAUGCGUCCCAUUAGCUAGUUGGUGUGGUAACGGCAUACCAAGGCAAUGAUGGGUAGGGGUCCUGAGAGGGAGAUCCCCACACUGUGACUGAGACACGGACCAGACUCCUACGGGAGGCAGCAGUGAGGAAUAUUGGACAAUGGGCGCAAGCCUGAUCCAGCCAUGCCGCGUGCAGGAUGACGGUCCUAUGGAUUGUAAACUGCUUUUUGUACGGGAAGAAACCCCCGUUUACGUGUAAAGGGGCUGACGGUACCGUAAGAAUAAGGAUCGGCUAACUCCGUGCCAGCAGCCGCGGUAAUACGGAGGAUCCAAGCGUUAUCCGGAAUCAUUGGGUUUAAAGGGUCCGUAGGCGGUUUUGUAAGUCAGUGGUGAAAUCCGGCAGCUCAACUGUCGAACUGCCAUUGAUACUGCAGGACUUGAAUUAUUGUGAAGUAACUAGAAUAUGUAGUGUAGCGGUGAAAUGCUUAGAUAUUACAUGGAAUACCCAUUGCGAAGGCAGGUUACUAACAGUGGAUUGGCGCUGAUGGACGAAAGCGUGGGGAGCGAACAGGAUUAGAUACCCUGGUAG
This 768-nucleotide ribosomal RNA is filed under the name uncultured bacterium. Its description in RNAcentral is "bacterial SSU rRNA". It matches the Rfam family "Bacterial small subunit ribosomal RNA", at positions 28 to 793 of the family's 1533-position model. The record is from RNAcentral.